UGGGGAAUAUUGGACAAUGGGGGCAACCCUGAUCCAGCCAUGCCGCGUGAGUGAUGAAGGCCUUCGGGUUGUAAAGCUCUUUUGGCGGGGACGAUGAUGACGGUACCCGCAGAAUAAGCCCCGGCUAACUUCGUGCCAGCAGCCGCGGUAAGACGAAGGGGGCUAGCGUUGUUCGGAAUUACUGGGCGUAAAGCGAGUGUAGGUGGUUGUCCAAGUUGGAUGUGAAAGCCUUGAGCUCAACUCAAGAAAUGCAUUCAGGACUGGGCGACUAGAGGACCGGAGAGGAUAGUGGAAUUCCCAGUGUAGUGGUGAAAUACGUAGAUAUUGGGAAGAACACCAGUGGCGAAGGCGGCUAUCUGGACGGUUUCUGACACUAAGACUCGAAAGCGUGGGGAGCAAACA
RNAcentral lists this ribosomal RNA (402 nucleotides) under uncultured Reyranella sp. Its description in RNAcentral is "bacterial SSU rRNA". It matches the Rfam family "Bacterial small subunit ribosomal RNA", at positions 355 to 774 of the family's 1533-position model. The record is from RNAcentral. Lineage: Bacteria; Pseudomonadati; Pseudomonadota; Alphaproteobacteria; Hyphomicrobiales; Reyranellaceae.